Molecule: ribosomal RNA, 484 nt
Filed under: uncultured bacterium
Lineage: Bacteria
Description: partial 16S ribosomal RNA
Rfam family: Bacterial small subunit ribosomal RNA
Source: RNAcentral
GAUGAACGCUGGCGGCGUGCUUAACACAUGCAAGUCGAACGAGAGAAGAUCGGUGCUUGCACUGAUCCGAUCGAGUGGCGGACGGGUGAGUAACGCGUGGGUAACCUGCCUCAUACAGGGGAAUAACAGUUGGAAACGGCUGCUAAAACCGCAUAAGCGCACAGUAUCGCAUGAUACAGUGUGAAAAACUCCGGUGGUAUGAGAUGGACCCGCGUCUGAUUAGCUAGUUGGUGAGGUAACGGCCCACCAAGGCAACGAUCAGUAGCCGGCCUGGGAGGGGGAACGGCCACAUUGGGACUGAGACACGGCCCAAACGCCUACGGGAGGCAGCAGUGGGGAAUAUUGCACAAUGGGGGAAACCCUGAUGCAGCGACGCCGCGUGAGUGAUGAAGUAUUUCGGUAUGUAAAGCUCUAUCAGCAGGGAAGAUAAUGACGGUACCUGACUAAGAAGCACCGGCUAAAUACGUGCCAGCAGCCGCCGUAA